AGUCACUGACAUUAGAUACCCGUGUAGUCCCAGCCGUAAACUAUGCUCGCUAGGUGUCAGGCAUGGCGCGACCGUGUCUGGUGCCGCAGGGAAGCCGUGAAGCGAGCCACCUGGGAAGUACGGCCGCAAGGCUGAAACUUAAAGGAAUUGGCGGGGGAGCACAACAACGGGUGGAGCCUGCGGUUUAAUUGGACUCAACGCCGGACAACUCACCGGGGACGACAGCAAUAUGUAGGCCAGGCUGAAGACCUUGCCUGAAUCGCUG
Molecule: ribosomal RNA, 265 nt
Filed under: uncultured archaeon
Lineage: Archaea
Description: partial 16S ribosomal RNA
Rfam family: Archaeal small subunit ribosomal RNA
Source: RNAcentral